UGCAGAUGAUAUAAUAGUAUAUAUACGUGACCC
This 33-nucleotide non-coding RNA is filed under the name Mus musculus (house mouse). Lineage: Eukaryota; Metazoa; Chordata; Mammalia; Rodentia; Muridae. The record is from RNAcentral.